This 73-nucleotide transfer RNA is filed under the name Micromonospora arborensis. RNAcentral describes it as "tRNA-Lys". The stretch from base 5 to 62 matches the Rfam family "tRNA", at positions 8 to 63 of the family's 71-position model. From Rfam's summary of the family: Transfer RNA (tRNA) molecules are approximately 80 nucleotides in length. Their secondary structure includes four short double-helical elements and three loops (D, anti-codon, and T loops). The record is from RNAcentral. Lineage: Bacteria; Bacillati; Actinomycetota; Actinomycetes; Micromonosporales; Micromonosporaceae.
GGCCUAGCUCAACUGGCCGAGCAGCGGACUCUUAAUCCGCGGGUUCGGGGUUCGAGUCCCUGGCGGCGCACCA